UGGGGAAUUUUCCGCAAUGGGCGGAAGCCUGACGGAGCAAGACCGCGUGAGGGAGGAAGGCCUUUGGGUUGUAAACCUCUUUUCUCAGGGAAGAAGAAAGUGACGGUACCUGAGGAAUCAGCCUCGGCUAACUCCGUGCCAGCAGCCGCGGUAAUACGGAGGAGGCAAGCGUCAUCCGGAAUUAUUGGGCGUAAAGCGUCCGCAGGUGGUGAUUCAAGUCCGCUGUCAAAGACCGGGGCUCAACCCUGGGCCGGCAGUAGAAACUGAAGCACUAGAGUUCGGUAGGGGUAGAGGGAAUUCCCAGUGUAGCGGUGAAAUGCGUAGAGAUUAGGAAGAACACCGGUGGCGAAAGCGCUCUGCUAGGCCGCAACUGACACUGAGGGACGAAAGCUAGGGGAGCGAAUGGGAUUAGAUACCCCCGUAGUCC
This 427-nucleotide ribosomal RNA is filed under the name uncultured prokaryote. RNAcentral describes it as "bacterial SSU rRNA". It matches the Rfam family "Bacterial small subunit ribosomal RNA", at positions 355 to 796 of the family's 1533-position model. The record is from RNAcentral.